Molecule: non-coding RNA, 129 nt
Organism: Rhodococcus pyridinivorans SB3094
Lineage: Bacteria; Bacillati; Actinomycetota; Actinomycetes; Mycobacteriales; Nocardiaceae
Source: Rfam
CGCUGCGGGUGUCCUGCCGAUCCGGUAGGGCACCCGCUGCGUUUUCGGUGAAGCCGGUGAGAUUCCGGCGCUGUCCCGCAACUGUAAGUCCCGAUACGGGGUGAGCCAGGUCGGCCGGCGCGGAGGGUC